Molecule: ribosomal RNA, 253 nt
Filed under: uncultured bacterium
Lineage: Bacteria
Description: partial 16S ribosomal RNA
Rfam family: Bacterial small subunit ribosomal RNA
Source: RNAcentral
GACGGAGGUGGCAAGCGUUGUCCGGAAUCAUUGGGCGUAAAGCGCGCGCAGGCGGUUCCUUAAGUCUGUUGUGAAAGCCCACGGCUCAACCGUGGAGGGUCAUUGGAAACUGGGGAACUUGAGUGCAGAAGAGGAAAGUGGAAUUCCCGGUGUAGUGGUGAAAUGCGUAGAUAUCGGGAGGAACACCAGUGGCGAAGGCGACUACCUGGCCUGUUCUUGACGCUGAGGCGCGAAAGCUAGGGUAGCAGACGGG